AUGUUCUUCCUGUCCCGUGUGGCUGCUGAGAGUCAUCUAAAUCUUAUGACAUCUGGGAACUUGUCAAUAGUUUUUGGACCCAACAUCUUUCACGUUCCUCUCGGCCCCACCAUGGUUGAGGAACAGGGGCAGUGUAACGCUUUGACACAACACCUGCUGGACAACCUGAUUCACCUUCUGCCAAACAUGUACCCUCAUGAACCCACUAGCAUCACAGCAGAAAGGGACUGGGCUAAUGACGAGUGUGUCCAACAGUUGCCACUCUCAAAAAUAAGCAACAACACAGAGAGUGGAGAGGCCUCUACAAGAGUAGAGACUCAGAGAACAGAAGACACUAUGGCUUGUGAGGCUCACCACAAAACACUGGGGCCAGUGAGGUUCACUGCCAGGCAGUGGGGUCAGUGA
Cyprinus carpio (common carp) is the source of this 405-nucleotide long non-coding RNA. NCBI's taxonomy places the organism in Eukaryota, Metazoa, Chordata, Actinopteri, Cypriniformes, Cyprinidae. The record is from Ensembl.